CUUCCAAUCUAACUCGGCAACCCCACAGGCUUCUCUGCUCUGGCCGACUCCUCUCCCACAACUUCCCAACAUCUUAUCUCAUCAACCUCCUCACCACUCACUCACUGCUCUGCUGAACAAUUUUACUGGUGGUCUGAGACGUUUGCUAAGUACCCAAACAACAGCAGCAACAACAAAAAUCUCUUCCUGUGUCACGGACCGCAUGAUGGCAAAAUUCUAGGCUCUUCCUUCUAGGAAGAUCAUUCCUUCUGCCCCAUUGGUGGGAGGCUUGGCCAUCUGACUGGCUUUGGCCAAUGAAGUCAGUGGCCACGAUGCAAGCGAGAACUUGGAACGCCAUAGCAGAAUCGACUCUGUCUUCUUCUUCUUCCACAAGACAGCUUUGGCCCUGAGAUGGAAGUGGGGGGCAGAGCGGCAGCUGGUUGGUGGUAAAAUAGAAACGUGGGUGAGCAACAAACAGCCCUUUGUAAAGAUAAUACUGGGGGAAGGUACACACACAGGUGUCACCAAGCUGGAGAGCCUACUUUGGAGAAUAGAAGAACAGAAGAAAAGCAACCCAUCUGAAGCUCGUCUGAAAAAGUUCAGGCCCCGGGGCCAGCCAAGUGUGUUCAGGCGACGGAAGUGUUGGAGAGUGUCCGCUAAAAUAUUUGAAAUUUCUCCCUUUCUCCCUUCCGGUUAAAGCAGCUUCUAGAUAACCAAACUGGGGAAGGGGGUGGGGUGGCAAAAAUCCCACCGCCUUUCCUUAACGUUCUCAUCUAAGCAAUAAAGUCACUUCCCUUCGCCAAGGCUGAGGGUCAAACUCUCAAAUUAACCCAAAGCAAUAAAGCAAGGUGGGGGGGGGCGUGGAGGGAAGAGGGGAAGGAGGGGGGAGAGACAGAGACAGAGACCCGGACAGAGAGAGAGAGAGAUGUAGCUUAAAGAAAGAGAGAUAAAGAGGAGGUGGGUGAGUGCUGUUUGAGGAAGUUAAUCACCCAGAACCUUUUAGGAAAAUGGGGACAUUUUCUCUCUGAGAGCAGUGAAUGAUCCGCCUAGAUCCAGUUACUCGAAUCGAAUACAAACAAGAGCAAAGGAAAUACGGAGAGAACCGACACAAGGCUUAACUCGGGAAGCUUCAAGUCUGCCUACCUGUGAAAGGUCAGGCCCCAACACCCCUUCUGGAAAAUACCACAGGUGUACAUGGGGUCCCGGGAGGCCCUCAUGCCGGUUAGCUGCUCGGUUAGGUGCCUCCGAGUAGGGGCCAUUCCUGCGUGAAGGCGGAGUAGGGUAGACGGACCGGGGGACCGGCACCACGAGGGACGAAGGGGACGAGGGGAGGAAAUGCCGGAACGAGGGGUGGCAAGAGAGCGGACGGCGUGUGGACGCCGGUGGCCGGGGCUGGGGGCCGAGCGAAGCGGGGCUCGGAAAGGGGGGGUGGGAGGGCCACACCGGACACCGGGCACCGGGCUGGCGGCCGGCCCNNNNNNNNNNNNNNNNNNNNNNNNNNNNNNNNNNNNNNNNNNNNNNNNNNNNNNNN
RNAcentral lists this long non-coding RNA (1510 nucleotides) under Mustela putorius furo (domestic ferret). RNAcentral describes it as "lncRNA (ENSMPUG00000023915.1)". Lineage: Eukaryota; Metazoa; Chordata; Mammalia; Carnivora; Mustelidae. The record is from RNAcentral.